This is a non-coding RNA of Daphnia pulex (common water flea), 137 nucleotides long. NCBI's taxonomy places the organism in Eukaryota, Metazoa, Arthropoda, Branchiopoda, Diplostraca, Daphniidae. The record is from Rfam.
AUCAAGAUGGCCGAGUGGUUAAGGCGCCAGACUUAAGAUUCUAAUUCAAAUAAUAGAUUAAUAGGUAAUCUUGUGAAAUCCGUUACUUGGCAUUCUGGUCUUCGAAGAAAGCGUGGGUUCGUGCCCCACUCUUGACA